Molecule: long non-coding RNA, 1089 nt
Organism: Ictalurus punctatus (channel catfish)
Lineage: Eukaryota; Metazoa; Chordata; Actinopteri; Siluriformes; Ictaluridae
Source: Ensembl
GUUUUUUUUUUUUUUUUCUUCUUAUACGACAGUGAAUAUUUUUAAUUAGUUUAAUUUAUUAAAGACUUACACAUCAUAUAUACGUUUUUUUUUUUUUUUUUAAUCCUUGUCUAGUUACAGUUAACAUUAUGGGGUCCUGUCAUCGUAGCGGUUGUAAACGGUCGCUCCCUCGCUUGCUGUUUAGGUUAAUGAUAAUUGUUACAAAGCGCUGACACUGGAGACUCCUUCCAUAUCUGUUCCAGGAACACAUUUCUCCUCAGCGUAUCGACGUGUACACAUGUGGAGCGUACUCUACGCCGUACAAGUACCGAUGGACGAGCUGUUACUAUAGAAACCAAAACGUAUCAAUGUGAUACAAAUACAUAGGACUAUAUUCAAAAUAUUUUUGCUUUAUACAGUAUCGAAGCGAUUUUUUUAGAGUGUUGCAGUGACGGAAGCAAACGGCUAACGCCGCACAAACACACCAAGCUAACAAACGCUAACUCAGCUUCCUGAGCAGAGAGAGCUCUGCAUCACAGCCUCUCUCUCUCUCUCUCUCUCUCUCUCUCUCUCUCUCUCUCUCUCUCUGUACAUGGAUAUCUAUAUUUUUAACCUUAAAGCCGGGCCACUCUGUCUUCACCUCGCACGGUUAUAUUUAUCCCUCACGCCUCCGUCUCCGGUUUCCUUCGCCUAAGAGCAGGUGGAAGAUGGAGGAAGGGGUGAGGUGAGAGCAGAGCUCACUUCCUGUUGGGUCACACUGUCCCGGGACGCAGAGAGGAGAGGAGAGGAGAGGAGAGGAGAGGAGAAGAGAGGAGAGGAGAAGAGAGGAGAGAAGAAGAGAGGAGAGGAGAGGAGAGGAGAAGAGAGGAGAAGAGAGGAGAGGAGAAGAGAGGAGAAGAGAGGAGAGGAGAAGAGAGGAGAGGAGGAGAGAGGAGAAGAGAGGAGAAGAGAGGAGAAGAGAAGAGACGAGAGGAGGAGAGAGGAGAGGAGGAGAGAGGAGAGGAGGAGAGAGGAGAAGAGAGGAGAGGAGAGAAGAAGAGAGGAGAGGAGAGGAGGAGGGGAGAGGAGAGGAGGGGAGGAGAGGAGAGGAGGGGAGGAGAGGAGAGGAGG